UGGGGAAUCUUGCACAAUGGGGGAAACCCUGAUGCAGCGACGCCGCGUGAGCGAUGAAGCCCUUCGGGGUGUAAAGCUCUUUCGGCAGGGAAGAUUAUGACGGUACCUGCAGAAGCAGCUGCGGCUAACUACGUGCCAGCAGCCGCGGUAAUACGUAGGCAGCAAGCGUUGUUCGGAGUUACUGGGCGUAAAGGGUGCGUAGGCGGCUCGAUAAGUAUGGUGUGAAAUCUCCCGGCUUAACUGGGAGGGUGCGCUAUAGACUGCCGGGCUAGAGUGUGGGAGAGGAAAGUGGAAUUCCUGGUGUAGCGGUGAAAUGCGUAGAUAUCAGGAGGAACACCGGUGGUGUAAACGGCUUUCUGGACCAUAACUGACGCUGAGGCACGAAAGCGUGGGUAGCAAACAGGAUUAGAUACCCUGGUAGUCCACGCCCUAAACGAUGCAUAUUUGGUGUGGGUCAUUCAGUUGAUCCGUGCCGGAGCUAACGCGUUAAAUAUGCCGCCUGGGGAGUACAGUCGCAAGGCUG
This 523-nucleotide ribosomal RNA is filed under the name uncultured bacterium. RNAcentral's name for it is "bacterial SSU rRNA". It matches the Rfam family "Bacterial small subunit ribosomal RNA", at positions 355 to 896 of the family's 1533-position model. The record is from RNAcentral.